Molecule: long non-coding RNA, 251 nt
Filed under: Brassica napus (rape)
Lineage: Eukaryota; Viridiplantae; Streptophyta; Magnoliopsida; Brassicales; Brassicaceae
Description: long non-coding RNA (BNAP_LNC004484)
Source: RNAcentral
UGAAAGUCCGCAUUUCGUUUGUUUAUUUUGUCUAUUGAUUUUACGAGUGGGCUUGGAUUUUUUUAUAGAUGGGCUUUGAUUUACAUUAUUUGGGCUAAAAAUCAACGAAAAAGUAUCUCAUUUCAUGCUCCUAUCCUCUUCUCUCCUUCUCUUCUUCACGAGCGUUGAUCAUUGGUUUCUAGGAUUCAUCCUCUACUGCAAUCUCUGAUUAUGUCAACCAACGAUGGCGGUUUUGAAAGGUUUAGUGAGAC